AGUGGGGAAUUUUGGACAAUGGGCGCAAGCCUGAUCCAGCNAUGCCGCGUGCAGGAAGAAGGCCUUCGGGUUGUAAACUGCUUUUGUCAGGGAAGAAAUCUUUUGGGUUAAUACCCCGGGAGGAUGACGGUACCUGAAGAAUAAGCACCGGCUAACUACGUGCCAGCAGCCGCGGUAAUACGUAGGGUGCNAGCGUUAAUCGGAAUUACUGGGCGUAAAGCGUGCGCAGGCGGUUUUGNAAGACAGAUGUGAAAUCCCCGGGCUCAACCUGGGAACUGCAUUUGUGACUGCANGGCUAGAGUACGGCAGAGGGGGAUGGAAUUCCGCGUGUAGCAGUGAAAUGCGUAGAUAUGCGGAGGAACACCNAUGGCGAAGGCAAUCCCCUGGGCCUGUACUGACGCUCAUGCACGAAAGCGUGGGGAGCAAACAGGAUUAGAUACCCCUGGUAGUCCACGCCCUAAACGAUGUCAAUCUGGUUGUUGGAUCGGCUUGCUGUUCAGUAACGAAGCUAACGCGUGAAGUUGACCGCCUGGGGAGUACGGCCGCAAGGUUGAAACUCAAAG
This 563-nucleotide ribosomal RNA is filed under the name uncultured bacterium. RNAcentral describes it as "bacterial SSU rRNA". It matches the Rfam family "Bacterial small subunit ribosomal RNA", at positions 353 to 906 of the family's 1533-position model. The record is from RNAcentral.